RNAcentral lists this ribosomal RNA (330 nucleotides) under uncultured eukaryote. Its description in RNAcentral is "partial 18S ribosomal RNA". It matches the Rfam family "Eukaryotic small subunit ribosomal RNA", at positions 1470 to 1796 of the family's 1831-position model. The record is from RNAcentral.
CCCUUAGAUGUUCUGGGCUGCACACGUGCUACACUGGCAGGUUCAGCGAGCUUCAUGCCCUGAUCUGAAAGGAAUGGGAAAUCUUUUCAAAACCUGCCGUGCUUGGGAUAGAUGUUUGCAAUUAUUCAUCUUCAACGAGGAUUGCCUUGUAAGCGCACGUCAUCAGCUUGCAUUGAUUACGUCCCUGCCCUUUGUACACACCGCCCGUCGCUCCUACCGAUUGAAUGAUCCGAUGAAUAUCAUGGAUUGAGGAUUAUAGCAGGUUCGCCUGUCUUGAUCUUCGAGAAGUGAAGUAAAUCUUAUCAUUUAGAGGAAGGAGAAGUCGUAACA